CACAGGAUAGAGUAGCAUGGAGAGCUGCAUCAAACCAGCCUCAGGACUGAAGACUACAAAACAACUACAACGAGAAUUUAAGGCGAAAAUGCUGUUCACUGACAAGACUGGACACCGAGUAAGCACUCUGUUAUGUGUGAACUGCAUUUCAACAAGGAGGGUAUUUUAAGCAGUACCAGCAUGUAUGACCCGAAAACUGGUACACUCCUGACAGCACCGUUGGGUCGUCGACACUUGAGAAAAGAACUGACUGUUCCACCAAUGAACCAGCUACUAUUGACACUCAGAUAUUGGCCUCUGGUGAUUUCCUUCUGCCUAUUGGAGACUUCAUUAGUAUUAAGAGUAUGCACAUGACACUGGACAAAAUGCAUAUGAC
This is a long non-coding RNA of Schistocerca americana (American grasshopper), 376 nucleotides long. RefSeq lists it as uncharacterized. The record is from RefSeq and is a predicted model, not a curated record. The transcript is spliced from 3 exons. NCBI's taxonomy places the organism in Eukaryota, Metazoa, Arthropoda, Insecta, Orthoptera, Acrididae.